RNAcentral lists this ribosomal RNA (502 nucleotides) under Bacillus sp. (in: firmicutes). RNAcentral describes it as "bacterial SSU rRNA". It matches the Rfam family "Bacterial small subunit ribosomal RNA", at positions 384 to 877 of the family's 1533-position model. The record is from RNAcentral. Lineage: Bacteria; Bacillati; Bacillota; Bacilli; Caryophanales; Bacillaceae.
UGACGGAGCAACGCCGCGUGAGUGAUGAAGGUUUUCGGAUCGUAAAGCUCUGUUGUUAGGGAAGAACAAGUGCGAGAGUAACUGCUCGCACCUUGACGGUACCUAACCAGAAAGCCACGGCUAACUACGUGCCAGCAGCCGCGGUAAUACGUAGGUGGCAAGCGUUGUCCGGAAUUAUUGGGCGUAAAGGGCUCGCAGGCGGUUUCUUAAGUCUGAUGUGAAAGCCCCCGGCUCAACCGGGGAGGGUCAUUGGAAACUGGGAAACUUGAGUGCAGAAGAGGAGAGUGGAAUUCCACGUGUAGCGGUGAAAUGCGUAGAGAUGUGGAGGAACACCAGUGGCGAAGGCGACUCUCUGGUCUGUAACUGACGCUGAGGAGCGAAAGCGUGGGGAGCGAACAGGAUUAGAUACCCUGGUAGUCCACGCCGUAAACGAUGAGUGCUAAGUGUUAGGGGGUUUCCGCCCCUUAGUGCUGCAGCUAACGCAUUAAGCACUCCGCCUGGG